RNAcentral lists this transfer RNA (71 nucleotides) under Armillaria ostoyae. It matches the Rfam family "tRNA". From Rfam's summary of the family: Transfer RNA (tRNA) molecules are approximately 80 nucleotides in length. Their secondary structure includes four short double-helical elements and three loops (D, anti-codon, and T loops). The record is from RNAcentral. Lineage: Eukaryota; Fungi; Basidiomycota; Agaricomycetes; Agaricales; Physalacriaceae.
GACACAAUGGAUCAAUGGUAGAUCGUCUCCAACGUAAGGAGAGGAUCACGGUUCGAGUCCGUGUUGUGGCA